AGCGAACGCUGGCGGUAUGCUUAACACAUGCAAGUCGAGCGCGAAAGUGACUUCGGUCAUAAGUAGAGCGGCGGACGGGUGAGUAACACGUGGAUAAUCUGCCUUUAGGACUGGGAUAACCCUGGGAAACUAGGGCUAAUACCGGAUAAGACCACAGGUUCCAUGGAACCAGGGGUAAAAGGCGGCCUUCGGGCUGUCGCCGAAAGAUGAGUCCGCGUCCCAUCAGGUAGUUGGUGAGGUAACGGCUCACCAAGCCGAAGACGGGUAGCCGACCUUAGCGGGUGAUCGGCCACACGGGGACUGAGACACGGCCCCGACUCCUACGGGAGGGC
Molecule: ribosomal RNA, 332 nt
Filed under: uncultured bacterium
Lineage: Bacteria
Description: bacterial SSU rRNA
Rfam family: Bacterial small subunit ribosomal RNA
Source: RNAcentral